This is a non-coding RNA of Phascolarctos cinereus (koala), 333 nucleotides long. The record is from RefSeq and is a predicted model, not a curated record. Lineage: Eukaryota; Metazoa; Chordata; Mammalia; Diprotodontia; Phascolarctidae.
GUUCUGUACCUCUCAAAACAACAACAGCAACAGCAACAAGACGGAUGGCAUGAGAACUGAAAACAGCCAAGAGGCAAAGAAUUUACCUGUUCUGUGUCCCAUUCCUGAAGGACUUUAUUCUCUACUAUCUGUCAAGGAGAACACUAAUCUUGCAGAAGGUGCUGAUGGCUAAUUAUGAUCCAAGUAAGUGCUCUUGUUACCACACCGGGCUUGGCUUCUCCUGGAAAAAUCUAUGUCAUAACCCCAGAGAAGGAGUCGGGAAGUGUGAACUGCUCAAAUAAUAUGAAAUAGACGACAGUGUACUUUGGCCACAUAGGAACAAAACUGGCUUUG